Daphnia pulicaria is the source of this 227-nucleotide long non-coding RNA. RefSeq lists it as uncharacterized. NCBI's taxonomy places the organism in Eukaryota, Metazoa, Arthropoda, Branchiopoda, Diplostraca, Daphniidae. The record is from RefSeq and is a predicted model, not a curated record. The transcript has 3 exons.
AUGAACAAAUGCAGGGCACAUACCAACAUGUGUUGUAUUUUUCUUAAUGUUAAACACGAGCAGUAGAUUCAACAUAACUAACUGUUUGAAGCUAAAGUUAGUUGGAACUCAACUCACUGUACAUACUCUAACUCAGAUAACUCUGGUGCUGUUGCCUUAGAGCCACAGGCAGGAAAAUGAUUCUUAUCAGAAAAUUGGAAAGCUGCUGGAGUAAUCUAUGGUGUUCA